AAGUCAUAACAAGGUUUCUGUAGGUGAACCUGCAGAAGGAUCAUUAUUGAAUUGUAAAAAUGGGGAGUUGCUUUCGAGCACUCCUCUAUAUUCUUAAUUCCUAAACACCUGUGAAUCGUUGCUGAGCUCGCUCAGUGGCACAAUCUUUAUACACAUCUUAUUAGAUUUGAAAACAAGAAUAAAAACAAAAACUAAAAUAUAA
RNAcentral lists this unclassified non-coding RNA (202 nucleotides) under plant metagenome. RNAcentral describes it as "partial contains small subunit ribosomal RNA and internal transcribed spacer 1". The stretch from base 1 to 46 matches the Rfam family "Eukaryotic small subunit ribosomal RNA", at positions 1786 to 1831 of the family's 1831-position model. The record is from RNAcentral.